This is a long non-coding RNA of Bombus pascuorum, 507 nucleotides long. RefSeq lists it as uncharacterized. Lineage: Eukaryota; Metazoa; Arthropoda; Insecta; Hymenoptera; Apidae. The record is from RefSeq and is a predicted model, not a curated record. The transcript is spliced from 2 exons.
UAAAUAAAAUAAUUCCAAUGAAAUAAUUCAUUUCUAUCUUUUUUAGUUCUGAGCAAACUAACCAAAAAAUAUUUAGCAGUUCAGAAGUUUAGGCCAUGCAUUGACAGGCCAGUCAAGACCAUGACCAUGGACAAGGCUCCUUCAUUAGUAUAAGCCAUAAACUUAAGUGUUCAAGUUCAAAGCAGUAAACAGUAAGUACAAAAUCAACAUGUUUAUAUAAACCAUUACAGAAAUAAUUUUUAAUCCACAUUUGGAACUUCUUUAAAAAGUGUUCUCAUGGAACAGAUAUUUUAGGAUAUGUAUAAUAAAAGUUCCAUGAAAAUAAGUUUUUUAGAACGUGUACUAAAAAAGAUUCUAUAAGAUAAAUCAAAGUACAAAAACUAUUAGCUAUAUAUUUAAAAAUCAUCAAAAUUGGUGAGAGCAUAGUUAAUUACAAGUCCGCCUUUUCUCAUUAUGUACGUGCCACAACAAAGUAAUUAAACAGAUUUACCAAAGUUAAUAAAUGUU